This 240-nucleotide ribosomal RNA is filed under the name uncultured bacterium. RNAcentral's name for it is "partial 16S ribosomal RNA". It matches the Rfam family "Bacterial small subunit ribosomal RNA", at positions 15 to 248 of the family's 1533-position model. The record is from RNAcentral.
GAUCCUGGUCAGGAUGAACGCUAGCUACAGGCUUAACACAUGCAAGUCGAGGGGCAGCGGGAUUGAAGCUUGCUUCAAUUGCCGGCGACCGGCGCACGGGUGAGUAACGCGUAUCCAACCUUCCGCAUACUCGGGGAUAGCCUUCUGAAAAGGAGAUUAAUACCCGAUGGUAUCAAGAGAUUGCAUGAUAACUUGAUUAAAGAAUUUCGGUAUGCGAUGGGGAUGCGUUCCAUUAGGUAG